CAAGUCGAACGGGGUUAAGGGGCUUGCUCCUUAAUCUAGUGGCGAACGGGUGAGUAAUGCAUCGGAACGUACCCGGGAGUGGGGGAUAACGCACCGAAAGGUGUGCUAAUACCGCAUAUUCUGUGAGCAGGAAAGCAGGGGAUCGCAAGACCUUGUGCUUCCGGAGCGGCCGAUGUCGGAUUAGCUAGUUGGUGAGGUAAAGGCUCACCAAGGCGACGAUCCGUAGCGGGUCUGAGAGGAUGAUCCGCCACACUGGGACUGAGACACGGCCCAGACUCCUACGGGAGGCAGCAGUGGGGAAUUUUGGACAAUGGGCGCAAGCCUGAUCCAGCCAUGCCGCGUGUCUGAAGAAGGCCUUCGGGUUGUAAAGGACUUUUGUCAGGAAGGAAAACCCAGUGGCUAAUAUGCCAUUGGGGAUGAACAGUACCUGAAC
Molecule: ribosomal RNA, 433 nt
Filed under: uncultured bacterium
Lineage: Bacteria
Description: SSU rRNA
Rfam family: Bacterial small subunit ribosomal RNA
Source: RNAcentral